CUUUCUUGAAUGCUGCAGUUCCUGAUCUUGGGACAGGCGCUGGGCUUCACGCUUCUGAAAGACUGGAUGAAGGGACAAAAGACAAGAGAGACUGCCUGAUCUCCAGCCAGCACAGCCACCCCAGAAGCAGUAUGGCACAAGUGGUGCGUGUCAGAUCACAUCCCACCAUGACUAUGCUAGGCACCUCCAAAGGGCACGGAGUCAUCAGUCUGAAUCUCUAUCUGCUCCAACACACAAACGCCAAUUUCAGCACCAAGUAACAAGGAUGAUACUUCCUUGGUUCUAACUGGACUUGGGUCACAGGUAACACUCCCUGAACAACCUCCAGUACAAAUCUCAGCUUCUAGGUUCUGGGGGAUAUAUUUUCCCCCAGAUAACCUCAGUCAUGGAUUCUUCUCUUUCAUGUAGGCUGCAACUCUCUAAUACAUUGCUGGCAAAGUUUCACAGUGUUUGCAAGCACGUGAUAAUGUUUUGGUGUAACCAAGUCACUUGUAAGGUGAGUGACAGGUUACACAUGAAUGCACUAAUGUCUUUCUCAUCUGGUCUGCUCACUAACUCUUGGCCCUGAUUACAUAUGCUGGUUUAUGCGCUUAAGUGGUUAUACUACCAUAAUAUUCAACUUUUGUGUUUCAAAACAAUGGAGUGCAUAUCAAGCUAUUGCACACAUUGAUUUUAUAAGGCACCUUUAGCUAUCGCUAGGACACAGCAGAGCUGUAACAAAUGUCUUAGAAGUACUUUGAACCCAGACAAAAGUGUAUUUUACAAGGUGUGUCUUCUCUCUCACUUUUUGUUUUCUUCCUUCUAUUCUAAGGUCACAGAAUUGUAGGAGUUGGGAUGGACCUCCAGAGAUCAUCGAGGCCAACCCCCCUGCCAAAGCAGGUUCCCUACACCAGGUCACACAGGUAGGCGUCCAGGUGAUAAGCUUUGACUCCUGAAAUAUUACAGAAAACCAGCAGGUUUACCUUAAUACAUCUGGUCUUGCUGUAGGAAACGGCAUCAGGAAUAGGAAACUACUAUCAGGAAUAAUAGUGUAGUUCAAUGAUUUACCUUGUCAUAUUAUCAAUACACAGAGUUUCAAGCAACCAGGGUCCCUACCUCUGUUUUAGAAGACGUGUUUUCUAUGCUAUGUGCCUCAUACCCAAGUCAGCCUCCUGUGCACUGAUACAUCCUUGGCAUAGGUCCUAUCUCCACACUAAAUCCACAGUGGUUGUUCUUCAGAAGCAUCAGACUUAGUCCUAUGUCAGAUUUCAGGUCACACAUUGGACCCCGAUACAGGUCCAGCUCCUCAGCUCUUGCGAAAGGGGGAAGAAGGGUGCAAUACUCCUCUCUGGGGGCUGUGCCAGGACCAAGCCAAGUAUCAGCUUCCAUAUAUUUGGCAGGAGUUGCAUUAGACAAGGUGGAUGAUGCCCAUGCCAGAACUGUGUCCAUAGUCAGUGGAGGUACCCACAUGUAAGAGGGCAGGUGGGCUCUGCUCUGCACAGAAGGACUGAAGCCACAUGAGAACUUGUCUACAAAUGGGAGCUGUAUGUACAAGCUCAGUUGUUUACUUCAAGCAUAUGGACAACACCUGGCUUCCAGUCCUUCAGUAGAGAAGGGAAGAAUGUGGCCAUAACAACACACUAAAGAGUUUCCUAGUCAGGGACCCUAAAGCAAACACAAUUCAUAACCCCUCCGACAAAUCUCUUUCACCCUGCACUGCAGCUUUCUCUAGGAAAAAACUCUUCAUCAUCUGUCUUGCUUGCAUUCUUUUAUUCUCUGUUGGGCAGAACACAGAGCAAUCAUUUUGCUGCUCUGAAGAGCACCUGCUAACCUGAAAUUAUUCCAGCUGGGAGUAAGCACUGGCAUCUGAUUGCAAAAACAAUCAAAUGGUGUUUUAUUAUUUCAAGAAGCAGUGCCUGCUUCUGAGCAUGCAGACAGUGUCAGCAACACUGCAGAGCUUUUCAAAACUCUGACUCUGUCUGGGAGAUCUGUGCCAAGCCUGCAAGAUGUGUAAUGCUGUUACAUCAGCUCUCCCCGUCUUGGAGAAUCAGCACAUUCUUCAUGUUAGUCAACCUCAUCACCUAACAAAUCAUCUGAAGGAAAGGCCCCUUGAGCAUGUUUUGCUGUAGAAGAGCAACACGAUCUCAUUUCUCUUUUAUUUAGAUUAAAACUAUUCUCAGUAGGAAAAGAGAAAUCCCACCUACAGCUGGAACACUGCCUGCCAUCACUGCCAGCCAGGGUUAACCUGAAAGCAAUUUGUAAACACCAUUCCUAAAUGGGUCCUGCAAAAUGGAUUAAUCAGUAAAUGAUAACUGUCCACCUUCACACACCAUUUUUUCCCUUACAGCACCUCUCUUCUCCUUUUCACACGUUCACAAACACCCUGAGCAGACCUUUCCUACCCUGGGAUAUCUCCUCAGUGUGCCAGAGCUUGUGUUUAGGGAUGGGAGUGACAUCCCAGCUGGUAGCAGUGCUCACGUGUCCAUUAGGCAGGGCGACCUGCCAACACUGCAUCUAAACACACUUUGGGUUUUACUCGGAGCCACAGCGGCAAAAAGCACUCCCUGCUGUGCUGCCUGCAGCACUGGGGCUCGUCUUGCCUAAUGCCAAAAGGCUCCUGUUUCAGGGACCACACUCUGCACACGUUGCCUGCCCUUGCUGCAGCAUUGCCUUCCCAUGUCACGUUCACAGACAACUGACGACACAUGCCAGAAUACUAACAGUUGCAGCCAAACUCUUCCUACAGUCUCCCUCCCAGCUGCAAGCAACUUUCAGGCAAGAUAAGAUGUUUAUUUGUCUAUCCUACGUAUGGUAGACUGAUUGAAGUGUUUCAUAUGACAUCAAUCCUGAUCAACAAACUUGCCCCAACAGCAUGUGAAUUACUCAUAAAGUUCUACUUAUUCUAAUUUCCUGGAGAACUUUACAUGAGACAAUUGACAAGAUGCUAUAUAGCCUUCUAGCUGUCUAGAAACCAAAGUGAAACAGAGAGUUCAGAGUUCUACACCAGCAAUCAAAACAUAAUCAGGGUUGGAGAUUAGUAUCAAGACAACCGCGACCGCUCAACAAGAACUGCAGAAGCCUGUUUUCUUAAGCAGUGUUCCCCUGCUCCAUGUACCAACAUCCCUAGACCGGUGGUUUUACUGCUUCUGAACCCCAACAGGUGACUCUCACAAACAUGCUCUGGCUGGCUGCAGGUAUGGCAAGCCAGGUUUUACACUCACAUAAAACAGGAUCUAAGGCCAAAGUGUGGGGCCUCUCACACCCAGCAUCAAGGGAAGAAGGAAUCAGGUUUCCAGAUAUGCCCAUGGUAGAGGUAGCAGCAGGUUUGAGCCCAGCCACUUUCAGGGCUAUCUAGAGUUGUGCGUAUGUUGAUCAAGAGGACAUGGUGGUCUUUUUGUACAGGGUUUGGAAAUGGCUACUCUAAAGAACCUGAAGGUCACGGUAACUGCUGAGCAAAUUUAACCCCAAAGAACUCCGACUAAAGAAUCAUGAAGCCAAGCACAGGAUGAUCAUGACAGGGGCAGCAAGGGCAAGAGGGCAGCUACAUCCCCUGCAUUGAUUCUCUUGCCCAUCACCAGCAGCAGCAGCAGCAGUGGAAAAUCACUUAUUCUAGUGCUGCACAGUGUCAAUCUACAUCUUGCAGACUGAAUUCAUGAGUUUCACAAAGUCAAAUAAUGCGUAGUAGCAGUUCAUUUUUUUCAUGCGCUGGAUAAACCUGAGUCAUUCAACAGAUAUACUUCACUUCCAGUGUUGCCUCAGGAAACAGACUGUUAGUGUGGUGUGAAGGAGGCAAGAGAAAGUUGCAUGACAGUUUCUGAAUAUGGCACUUGCAGCCAUA
This is a non-coding RNA of Coturnix japonica (Japanese quail), 3817 nucleotides long. NCBI's taxonomy places the organism in Eukaryota, Metazoa, Chordata, Aves, Galliformes, Phasianidae. The record is from RefSeq and is a predicted model, not a curated record.